GUAGGUGGCAAGCGUUGUCCGGAAUUAUUGGGGCGUAAAGCGCGUGCAGGCGGUUCUUUAAGUCUGAUGUGAAAGCCCACGGGCUCAACCGUGGAGGGUCAUUGGAAACUGGAGAACUUGAGUACAGAAGAGGAAAGCGGAAUUCCACGUGUAGCGGUGAAAUGCGUAGAGAUGUGGAGGAACACCAGUGGCGAAGGCGGCUUUCUGGUCUGUAACUGACGCUGAGGCGCGAAAGCGUGGGGAGCAAACAGGAUUAGAUACCCUGGUAGUCCACGCCGUAAACGAUGAGUGCUAAGUGUUAGGGGGUUUCCGCCCCUUAGUGCUGCAGCUAACGCAUUAAGCACUCCGCCUGGGGAGUACGGCCGCAAAGGCUG
This 374-nucleotide ribosomal RNA is filed under the name uncultured organism. RNAcentral describes it as "partial 16S ribosomal RNA". It matches the Rfam family "Bacterial small subunit ribosomal RNA", at positions 527 to 896 of the family's 1533-position model. The record is from RNAcentral.